AUUGAACGCUGGCGGCAUGCUUUACACAUGCAAGUCGAACGGCAGCGCGGGCUUCGGCCUGGCGGCGAGUGGCGAACGGGUGAGUAAUGCAUCGGAACGUGCCCAGUAGUGGGGGAUAGCCCGGCGAAAGCCGGAUUAAUACCGCAUACGACCUGAGGGUGAAAGCGGGGGACCGAAAGGCCUCGCGCUAUUGGAGCGGCCGAUGUCGGAUUAGCUAGUUGGUGGGGUAAAGGCUUACCAAGGCGACGAUCCGUAGCUGGUCUGAGAGGACGACCAGCCACACUGGGACUGAGACACGGCCCCGACUCCUACGGGAGGCAGCAGUGGGGAAUUUUGGACAAUGGGGGCAACCCUGAUCCAGCCAUGCCGCGUGCGGGAAGAAGGCCUUCGGGUUGUAAACCGCUUUUGUUCGGGAAGAAAUCCUCUGGGCUAAUACCCCGGGGGGAUGACGGUACCGGAAGAAUAAGCACCGGCUAACUACGUG
This 484-nucleotide ribosomal RNA is filed under the name uncultured bacterium. Its description in RNAcentral is "partial 16S ribosomal RNA". It matches the Rfam family "Bacterial small subunit ribosomal RNA", at positions 28 to 507 of the family's 1533-position model. The record is from RNAcentral.